This 2928-nucleotide ribosomal RNA is filed under the name Salmonella enterica subsp. enterica serovar Enteritidis str. SA20094177. RNAcentral's name for it is "bacterial LSU rRNA". It matches the Rfam family "Bacterial large subunit ribosomal RNA". The record is from RNAcentral. Lineage: Bacteria; Pseudomonadati; Pseudomonadota; Gammaproteobacteria; Enterobacterales; Enterobacteriaceae.
GGGUUGUGAGGUUAAGCGACUAAGCGUACACGGUGGAUGCCCUGGCAGUCAGAGGCGAUGAAGGGCGUGCUAAUCUGCGAUAAGCGCCGGUAAGGUGAUAUGAACCGUUAUAACCGGCGAUACCCGAAUGGGGAAACCCAGUGUGAUUCGUCACACUAUCAUUAACUGAAUCCAUAGGUUAAUGAGGCGAACCGGGGGAACUGAAACAUCUAAGUACCCCGAGGAAAAGAAAUCAACCGAGAUUCCCCCAGUAGCGGCGAGCGAACGGGGAGGAGCCCAGAGCCUGAAUCAGCAUGUGUGUUAGUGGAAGCGUCUGGAAAGGCGCGCGAUACAGGGUGACAGCCCCGUACACAAAAGCGCAUGUGCUGUGAGCUCGAUGAGUAGGGCGGGACACGUGGUAUCCUGUCUGAAUAUGGGGGGACCAUCCUCCAAGGCUAAAUACUCCUGACUGACCGAUAGUGAACCAGUACCGUGAGGGAAAGGCGAAAAGAACCCCGGCGAGGGGAGUGAAAAAGAACCUGAAACCGUGUACGUACAAGCAGNNNNNNNNNNNNNNNNNNNGUGUGACUGCGUACCUUUUGUAUAAUGGGUCAGCGACUUAUAUUCUGUAGCAAGGUUAACCGAAUAGGGGAGCCGGAGGGAAACCGAGUCUUAAUUGGGCGUUAAGUUGCAGGGUAUAGACCCGAAACCCGGUGAUCUAGCCAUGGGCAGGUUGAAGGUUGGGUAACACUAACUGGAGGACCGAACCGACUAAUGUUGAAAAAUUAGCGGAUGACCUGUGGCUGGGGGUGAAAGGCCAAUCAAACCGGGAGAUAGCUGGUUCUCCCCGAAAGCUAUUUAGGUAGCGCCUCGUGAAUUCAUCUCCGGGGGUAGAGCACUGUUUCGGCUAGGGGGCCAUCCCGGCUUACCAACCCGAUGCAAACUGCGAAUACCGGAGAAUGUUAUCACGGGAGACACACGGCGGGUGCUAACGUCCGUCGUGAAGAGGGAAACAACCCAGACCGCCAGCUAAGGUCCCAAAGUCAUGGUUAAGUGGGAAACGAUGUGGGAAGGCCCAGACAGCCAGGAUGUUGGCUUAGAAGCAGCCAUCAUUUAAAGAAAGCGUAAUAGCUCACUGGUCGAGUCGGCCUGCGCGGAAGAUGUAACGGGGCUAAACCAUGCACCGAAGCUGCGGCAGCGACACUGUGUGUUGUUGGGUAGGGGAGCGUUCUGUAAGCCUGUGAAGGUGUGUCGUGAGGCAUGCUGGAGGUAUCAGAAGUGCGAAUGCUGACAUAAGUAACGAUAAAGCGGGUGAAAAGCCCGCUCGCCGGAAGACCAAGGGUUCCUGUCCAACGUUAAUCGGGGCAGGGUGAGUCGACCCCUAAGGCGAGGCCGAAAGGCGUAGUCGAUGGGAAACGGGUUAAUAUUCCCGUACUUGGUGUUACUGCGAAGGGGGGACGGAGAAGGCUAUGUUGGCCGGGCGACGGUUGUCCCGGUUUAAGCGUGUAGGUGUGUGUUCCAGGUAAAUCCGGUUCACUUUAACACUGAGGCGUGACGACGAGGCACUACGGUGCUGAAGCAACAAAUGCCCUGCUUCCAGGAAAAGCCUCUAAGCAUCAGGUAACAUCAAAUCGUACCCCAAACCGACACAGGUGGUCAGGUAGAGAAUACCAAGGCGCUUGAGAGAACUCGGGUGAAGGAACUAGGCAAAAUGGUGCCGUAACUUCGGGAGAAGGCACGCUGACACGUAGGUGAAGUGAUUUACUCAUGGAGCUGAAGUCAGUCGAAGAUACCAGCUGGCUGCAACUGUUUAUUAAAAACACAGCACUGUGCAAACACGAAAGUGGACGUAUACGGUGUGACGCCUGCCCGGUGCCGGAAGGUUAAUUGAUGGGGUCAGCGCAAGCGAAGCUCCUGAUCGAAGCCCCGGUAAACGGCGGCCGUAACUAUAACGGUCCUAAGGUAGCGAAAUUCCUUGUCGGGUAAGUUCCGACCUGCACGAAUGGCGUAAUGAUGGCCAGGCUGUCUCCACCCGAGACUCAGUGAAAUUGAACUCGCUGUGAAGAUGCAGUGUACCCGCGGCAAGACGGAAAGACCCCGUGAACCUUUACUAUAGCUUGACACUGAACAUUGAGCCUUGAUGUGUAGGAUAGGUGGGAGGCUUUGAAGUGUGGACGCCAGUCUGCAUGGAGCCGACCUUGAAAUACCACCCUUUAAUGUUUGAUGUUCUAACGUGGACCCGUUACCCGGGUUGCGGACAGUGUCUGGUGGGUAGUUUGACUGGGGCGGUCUCCUCCUAAAGAGUAACGGAGGAGCACGAAGGUUGGCUAAUCCUGGUCGGACAUCAGGAGGUUAGUGCAAUGGCAUAAGCCAGCUUGACUGCGAGCGUGACGGCGCGAGCAGGUGCGAAAGCAGGUCAUAGUGAUCCGGUGGUUCUGAAUGGAAGGGCCAUCGCUCAACGGAUAAAAGGUACUCCGGGGAUAACAGGCUGAUACCGCCCAAGAGUUCAUAUCGACGGCGGUGUUUGGCACCUCGAUGUCGGCUCAUCACAUCCUGGGGCUGAAGUAGGUCCCAAGGGUAUGGCUGUUCGCCAUUUAAAGUGGUACGCGAGCUGGGUUUAGAACGUCGUGAGACAGUUCGGUCCCUAUCUGCCGUGGGCGCUGGAGAACUGAGGGGGGCUGCUCCUAGUACGAGAGGACCGGAGUGGACGCAUCACUGGUGUUCGGGUUGUCAUGCCAAUGGCACUGCCCGGUAGCUAAAUGCGGAAGAGAUAAGUGCUGAAAGCAUCUAAGCACGAAACUUGCCCCGAGAUGAGUUCUCCCUGAGACUUAGAGUCUCCUGAAGGAACGUUGAAGACGACGACGUUGAUAGGCCGGGUGUGUAAGCGCAGCGAUGCGUUGAGCUAACCGGUACUAAUGAACCGUGAGGCUUAACCUUACAACGCCGAAG